CAGCGCCACGGUAAUACGAAGGGUGCAAGCGUUGCUCGGAAUUACUGGGCGUAAAGCGUGCGUAGGUGGUGGUUUAAGUCCGUUGUGAAAGCCCUGGGCUCAACCUGGGAAUUGCAGUGGAUACUGGGUCACUAGAGUGUGGUAGAGGAUAGUGGAAUUUCCGGUGUAGCAGUGAAAUGCGUAGAGAUCGGAAGGAACAUCUGUGGCGAAGGCGACUAUCUGGGCCAACACUGACACUGAGGCACGAAAGCGUGGGGAGCAAACAGGAUUAGAGACCCCCGUAGUCCCUGUCUCUUAUACA
RNAcentral lists this ribosomal RNA (301 nucleotides) under uncultured bacterium. RNAcentral's name for it is "partial 16S ribosomal RNA". It matches the Rfam family "Bacterial small subunit ribosomal RNA", at positions 509 to 808 of the family's 1533-position model. The record is from RNAcentral.